RNAcentral lists this transfer-messenger RNA (363 nucleotides) under Rhodospirillales bacterium. It matches the Rfam family "Alphaproteobacteria transfer-messenger RNA". Rfam says of the family: Bacterial tmRNA, also known as 10Sa RNA or SsrA, is named for its dual tRNA and mRNA-like properties. Its role is to liberate the mRNA from a stalled ribosome. Lineage: Bacteria; Pseudomonadati; Pseudomonadota; Alphaproteobacteria; Rhodospirillales. The record is from RNAcentral.
UCUCUUUCACAUUCUGCGAUUCGGCACUAUAUGAACCUCGUCAGCUUGCUGACUAUGGUGAUAAACGGUGCGUGGAAUAAGCGUUGUGGACCCGGGGGCGGUACCCGGCGCCUCCAUAAUAUUCUGGCCCGCCUGAUUCAGACUACGCGGCGAUGCCGCUUCGUCAUCAGGAGGGCUUGGGGGUUGUGAGGGGGCGAAACAGACUCGACACGCGUGGUAAAGACCCAUCUUUUGCCCGGCAUUGUACCGCCGUUAUCGGGCUAAUUUUUAAAUGCGAACGAUAACAACGUAGCAUUCGCUGUCGCUGCCUAAUCAGUAGCUAAGCGCGGUUCGGGGGGCACCGGGCAACAGAAGCCCCCCACU